This 875-nucleotide long non-coding RNA is filed under the name Salmo salar (Atlantic salmon). RNAcentral's name for it is "lncRNA (ENSSSAG00000100896.1, ENSSSAG00000104934.1)". The record is from RNAcentral. Lineage: Eukaryota; Metazoa; Chordata; Actinopteri; Salmoniformes; Salmonidae.
CAUGUCAUCACUUCAUUUUUUUGCGCCUGCGCAUAAAUCUGAGAAACAAACCACAUUUGUUCCGGACCUGGGAUGCCUUCCGGACCUGGGAUGCCUGCCUUCUGAUGGAGAUAAUCAAAGUGGGACAGUGACAUGUCUUCCCUCCUACUCCUAUCACAAAAUUCCGCUGGUAGGAAGAAAACACAGAAGAUCAGUGCAGCUCAGGCCAUUGACCAUCUGGUUGUAUUUCACAAGUGUUGUUGGAGCCUGGAUAACUACCUGGAGACGGAAGGAAGAUGGCAGACAUAUCUACUCGCCCCUGGAACCAGCAAGCAGGCCAUCAGCAACUUAGAGCUAAGUUUAUGAACAAUGUAUAGAUGUUACAUUUGUAGAUCUUUGCAUGAUGCGGUUGGCACAUUGAUUCAGCACCUUAAGCUUUUGCAUGGCUUGUCUGAUAUGUGUGGUAUGUGCUCCAGAUGGAUGUUCUGUCACGGGCAGAUAAAUCACUGGAGGAUGAGUCAGGCGCAGGAGACUGAGUUCCAUUUGAGCAAAAAUGUAUUUAAUGCUGCCAAGGGGCAAAAUCCACACAUAAGGCAGGGUGCACAAAAGUCAAAUGACGAGUGGCAGCUCCACUCUAAAAGUCAGACGGGGCACAGCCCGGCAACCCUAAUGCCUAAAUGAAUACGUAGCAAAAGCAACUACGUUAAAUCAAAGCAACCCCUAUCACACGUAACAUAGAACAAUCCCGCACGAAUCCUAACUAAACACAGACAAACUAAAUACCCCCCCACUAAUGACAAACAAGACACAGGUGCAACCAAAAAACAGACAUGACUAACAGACACUGAAACAUAGAUUGGUGGCAGCUAGUAGGCCGGCGACGACGCCCGCCGAGC